This is a long non-coding RNA of Phasianus colchicus (ring-necked pheasant), 1719 nucleotides long. The record is from Ensembl. Lineage: Eukaryota; Metazoa; Chordata; Aves; Galliformes; Phasianidae.
CUCUGUUCUCUUCAGCAGCACCAUAAAAUGGUGGAAGCGUGGGGAACAGCUGUAAUUCAGUUUGGUUCAAGCAAAUGACUGUAGCAGGAUUUUGCUAUAUCAGAAAUAAGGAGAUGUUGAGUUAAUGCUGAAUAAGCCAUGAAACUGAUUUAUCUUAGAAGGAGAAAGAUUUCAUUUCCAGUUCUUAAAGUAAUUAUAAGCUGAUGGGUUUCUGCAUUUGUAUUUUGUCUGUAGAUUAAUGUUACAAAAAGUUAUUGCUCCUCUAAAAGAGAGAUUUCUGGCUCUAUUAAUUUUUUCAGAACGUGUUCAGUUUCCCAUUUGUGUCUAAAGGCUUUUGAAAGUGCACGCAUUUGAUUUGAUAUAAUUUAUUUUAUUUUUAAGAUGUAUAUUCAUUAGUGCUUUUACUUUCAGGUAUAAGGCAGAGUCUUUUCCUGUGCAGAUGCAUGGAAAAAUACAAGGGCUACGUUCAUCCAGAAAUUGGUUUGCAACAUAUAAGAUUAUAGAGACACUUGAAAGCAGGGAUCAUAGAUACUGUUGAAUAAUUUGCUGCUGAAAUGGCACUGCAGCACUAAUUCUGUAUCCUCUUAUUCUUGCUACAAGUAGAAAAUUUUCCAGAAAAGCUGUGUAUGCUUUUGAUGUGGUACUGCUGAACUGGUUUGCAUCCUGUGCAUUUUAUCAUCUCCUGCUAACAUAGCCUUUGCUUUAUCCAGCUGUCUGCAUUUUCGGCUCUUUCAGGUCAAGGUGAAUGACUCUAGAGUAAAAGCUUACAUCUCAAAUGAGUUGUGAUGAUGAGUAUUUCUCUCCUUCCUCAACGAUUCUUCAAGAACUUUGGAAACAAAGCAAAAUAGCUCCCAAAGCUACGACAGUGAAGUUACUUCAAAGGUUUGGGGCUUUUCUGGUGUCUUCAACACAGAAAUGUAUCCCAUGACCUGAGUUAGAGCACAAACUGCAGUAUGUGUUGCAGUGUGUCAUCCAUGCGAUGCUCUCUGGACUCACAGCUGUUGCUCAGCAGUUUGUCUCCAGCACCAUCCCAUGGCAGCUGCACUUGAAUGCUUUAUUCCUCCCGUUUUCAGGAGGAAAGCUGAAGUGAGUGGAUUCUUUUUAGUUGCUCGGAUGUAUUUUUGUUAAAGCUUUGUGUUGAAAACUUUAGUUCUGUGACACCAACUUGAAUUUCUGAAUGAUGCAGCCUCUGUAAGGAAGCUCACUAUGUGCAACCAAUAGGAUUACCUGAUUGCACUGCUGCUCCCAUAGCCUAGGCUAAUGAGAGUGCAGUGAAAAAGCAGCUACAUCAGGAAAGCCAGACAGUGGUUUGAUUAAUAUUGGCAUUGAGCUCUGCAUUUAGACUGAGCUCUGUUAGUUUACACCAGGUGACAAAGUAACCCAGGGUAUUCCUUGUUUGGGGCACAAAGGAAAAGGAUCUCGUUAUCACUUAAGGUGAUCAGUGACUCUACACAGCCUUGAAAGAAGUUGGUGUUUCUUUCAGGUCUUUGGUCACUUUUUAUCCCUUUUUGAGAAAUACCCAGCAAGUUCUUGAAGGAAACGACGUUUUUGUUGGCGUUUGCUUUGAAGGACUUGAUGCCCGUGAUUGACUGCUUUCCUUCAAAGCCUGCUCAAGACGCUGUGUUGGACCAAAUGUUCAUUUCUGCAGCUGUUUUAAUUUAAAGAAACCACCAUUUAAAAAGCAUUGCGCUUCGUGAGAGAGGCGAUCUGAGCAACUCA